ACAUGUCAAUCGAGAAAAGAUAUGCAUGUGGAAUUAUUGAGAAUGAGAGGCAAUAGGAAGAUAGCAGGCUACCAAAGAGGCUACUAGACAAGUAACCGUCAACUAACUUGGCAAUACGGGGUUAAGCGGAGCACACCAUAACAUGGUCGUUGAAUGUCUAAAUUUUUUUUAGUAGUAAAGGAAAAUAAAUAUUAUUACGUAACUGAAUAAUUAUAUUGAGCCUUAAGGGCAUGUAUAUAUAGAUUGACAUAGUAAGAAAAUAAGAAAUAAUGUAUAUAUAAAGGAAGGAGUACAUACAAAUCAAUCAUACUUUAAUAUAUCAUCAACUAUCGUAU
This 335-nucleotide long non-coding RNA is filed under the name Oryza brachyantha (malo sina). RNAcentral describes it as "long non-coding RNA (OBRA_LNC002991)". Lineage: Eukaryota; Viridiplantae; Streptophyta; Magnoliopsida; Poales; Poaceae. The record is from RNAcentral.